AUUUCCAUGUUCUGUGAAUGCUUCCUGCCUGGGAGCUGCUCUAAGCCAUGUGUUGAAUUGAUGCUUAGAGUGACUCUAUCAGAGCACGUCUUUAAAAUUUAGGUAUAAAAGUUGCCUGAAUUGAGAAGACAGGUAAGAGACAAAUUCUCUCUCUCUUCCUAACUCUCUGACUUGCUGCUGUUAUUCUUCACUCCCCACCAGAAAAAUUCUGGCCCUGUUCUUUCUAUAUGCAAAGCAACAGGAGGAGGAACAGGUCAGGCCUUAAUCACCCAUGAUCACUUCUUUGCUUCUCCGUCCCCAGCCUCCCAACAAAGUGCUGUUGCUGUGCCUGGAUCACCAGCAAUGCCACAAUCUGAUGUUUUAGUUGAGUCAGGGAUGCUGUGUAGAAGAUUGUCAGUGGUUGCUUCCAACUCAUGGGGGACCACUGGGGGUUUAUUGCUUCCUUUUGUUAAGCAGAAGUCCUGGUGCCAGAGAUUCCAUAGUUUCCUCACUGGCCUCCUGCAAUGCAUCUAUGGAUAUUGCAUACUGCUGUUAGAAUUGGGCAGCAGGUGGUGAAUUAAAGGACUCAUCUGCUAAGAAGAAAAAAAUGUUAGGGUUUUUAUUUUCUUUUCCCUAUUGCUUUGUGUUUGGUGAGGAGAGAAGAUGCAGCAGGUGCUAAAGCCACUAUUGCUGCCUUGGGGGGUCUUGUCCUGCUUCUGUUUCUGCCUCUCUACUGUUGUCUUGUUCCUGCUGCUUAUACAGCAGGGCCUUGUGCUUUGCUAGGAAACAGUCUAACACAUUUUUGGGGGUGGAGAACUGACAGUAUUUUGGAACUGACUAAAAGUCAGGAAGGAUAGUAGCCUUCUCUUGUUUCUGCUUUUUGGUUUUGGUUUUAUUCUUUUUUGUCUUUCUUUUCACCCAUAUGUUUCAUCUUUUUGCUUUUGUUGUCACUAGACUGUCUCACACCGUCCCUGGCAAAAUUCAUGUUCUUUAAAGAAUUAUCCAUCCAGACAUAGUAAUACAACUGAGAAAGGAUUCUUUAUAAUAUACUCUGCUUUUCCUCUGAAUUAAUAUCUAAAUGCUAAUAUCCAUGCUGACGUUAGAUUAAAAAAUUAAGUUCUCUGUUUUUCACUUCCUCUUCAAUGCAUGUUUCUGCCAAGUUCCCCAGUAUUCCAAAUGCUGUUUCCCUUUUCCUUUUUCCUCUCUGAUUAAGGUAAUGGUUAAAUUUCUGAAUUCCUUUUUACCCGAGGAUCUCCAGUCAGGUAAUAGUUCUCUUGUAGCUGUGUGAUGGCAAAAUGAGGAACCCGAAGGCCUGCCUCCAGAGCUGCUCCAGGCUGGGUUUUAAACAAAAGCUUGGAAACAUUUGUGCCCUGAAAGUUGAGGAAUUUCCCUACCUGGCUUUUGGCAUGACAGCCUCAAUUCUAAAAACAACUCUGCAUUAGCAGGCUCUCCUGCUAUUCUUCCAUAUGAGAAAGGAUCCUUCAUGGGGAUUGCUCAGUGUUCUGCUGACCAUUAGCAUCUAAGGGUUCUAUUCUAAAGUGGGAAGCUGGCUCCUGUGUCUGAGAAGAUGAGCAGUAUUUUUAGGAAGAUGACAUUUCUAUUAGUCCAGAGGGGAAAAAAAGCAACAGACAGAUCAGUUCUGCUGGCCAUGAUACAAAGUGGAAAUGGCUGUCCUUAAUUAUGGGAUUCAAAGAAUCCAAGUUCUCCACAGCAGCUGCUUUCACAAACUCAAGACUUGGAGAUUUGAGGUAGGUUCUGAAAUUGCUUUGAUAUUCAGUCACAUCCAUCAAGACAGUGAAAGUAACACUAGUAUUAGUGAUAGUAUUAAUGAUUUAUCAUUCCACGUCUUCGAUGAAUCAAGUCUGAGAAAGUGUUUACUAGAGAUUUAUGAAAAAGAAAUGCUGAGCAAAAGAACACAUUUCAUUGCAAAUGUUGCAGAAAAUUUCAAAAAGAAUGAGUGUUUAGUUUAAUUUAAUUAGACACUGUGGAGACACAUAUCCUUCCUUUUCCUCUAAAUAUGUUGUCUUCCUGAUUAAAUUAUUAGUAUUGGGCAAACAUAGGAGAGAAAGGGGAACAAGCAGUGACUGAUAAAAGACAAUUCACAGAUGUUAAGUAGUUUUAAUCUGCUGAUAUAUUCUUUGAAAGUUUUGAUCAGUUUAGUGGGAUUAUGCGAUAAAAGAGACAAAAUUCAAUAAGCAGAUUAAUAAUAGAAAAGAUUUGGUUGAAUUUGUUUAAUAGCUGUUUUGGUUAGGUGUUUCGUUUUUGCGGGUUUUUUGUUUUGUUUUGUUUGUUUUUGUUGAGUUUUUUUUUAGGGAAAGUAGGGUUUAUGAUAUAUGGAAGAAUGGUGACUUAGGAAAGUUAGAUCAUAACUUUUUCAGUUUGAUAGGCUUGAUCGAAUUUUCUAUUAAUUUAACUAGCAUUACCUGCUGCUUAGCAUAAAGAUGACAAAAUAUAGAUAGACUGGGAUAAAUAAAAUAACUCUUCAAGUAUUGAUUCUGAAGUUGUGUAACCAAUAUAUUCAGCUGCAUAACUACCAUUUAAAUAAAUACUGUGUUUCAUAAGUGUGUUACAACAUGGGUAAGCCAAUAAUCCACAAGAACUCUCACUCACAAGAACUCGGGGCAGAGGUUACAUUUAUAUCCAGGUUAUUUGAUUUAGGGGUUUGGGGACUGUACCUUGUACUGUUGAAAUCAGGUGCCUUUUUCUUCUUGGUUUUCUUAAAAGCAGGUCCCAGAUUAAUUUAUUAAAUGCUGGUACUGGUCAUGCACAAUGUAGAUUUUUCUGUGGAAAGAAAAACCUGGUACUAAUAAUUGGGCAUUUUAUACAAAAUUAUAAAUAAAUAUUUUCAAGACUGAAAUGUCUUGAGAAGAUCUUGCUUUUGACAGCUUGAAUUAUAAUUUUGGUUAUAAAUUAUAAAUAAUUUUAAAAUCAGGGAGCAAAAAGAUAGCAGCUCUCACCUCUCAGAGCUUGCCUGCUGCUGCCUAAUCUGUCAGGGGUGUGGUGGUAUGAAAAUGUACCAUGAGCUGAGGAAAUAUAUAGUGUGUCAGUGGUCCUCAGACACCAGCUGUGCUGUUUGCAUAUUCCUAUUGUCCAUCUAGAAGAUUCAUAAAGAUAGGCUGGCAUUCUUAGAGGGACCUAAAGAGGGGUGAAGGAAUGAAAAAGAGAGAAACAUCUAGUUUUGAUUUUGAAAUUAAUACAAAAAAGAAUUUAAGUUUGAUGCUUAAAAAUAUACACAGCUAUUGAAUUCCUGUAUUGAAUUAUAGUUGAUAUUUAGAAUGGAAAGAAUAAUUUGGGGUCUUAAGAGUAAAUCAGACUCUGUAAAAUAUAAUUUUGGGGAAAGAAAUUAUAUUUAUAAUAUACAAUUAGGAGAGAUUUUUUUUUUCACUGAUUAAAUAGUGAAUUCUGCAGUUUUCAAUCUAAUAAGAGUGAAAAUUAAAAGCAAUUAGAGCUUGGAAAACUUGAUGAAUGACAGGAGGCUAAAAUGCCUUGUGAACAGGAAAGAAAAGGUUCAUCUCAGUAGUACUGUAAUGGAAACAUUUUAGUGCAUCAAACUACUUUUUAAAUUAUCAAUAAAAAUUAUCUAUGUUAAAGCAUCUUUUAAAGAAGGAAUGUGAGGUGGGCCACAGGUCCACAGGGCAACAGCAACAGCAGGUACACAGUUCUUGCAAACACCUAUAAAAUAAGUCUGGAAAUAACUGUCCAAAAACUAACUAACCAACUGACCAAAAAUUCUUUGGGACAUUGUUCUUCUUAAAAUAAUAGGGAAAUUAUUUUUAGAAUAAUUUUUAAGCUAUUACUUCAUGUUUGUUAAACUUUAUUUUGGAAUUACUCUAUGUUUUAAAAUCCUUUCUUUCAGAAGGGAUAAGCACUCACGGUUUCCAUAUACUAUGGUCAAAUUCACCAUCCCUUUUGAUUUUAUGCAUUAUAGUGAGUAUUGUACAUAUGAAGGCAGAAUCUAUUUUCCCAGAUUUUAAGUAUUGAACUAAAAGUUUCUUCUCUGUGAGGAUCAGCAUUUGGAUCUUGUUCAGGUGAUAUUGUCCGUCUCUGUGUAAGUCUUCCUUUUAGCUGAUAAAUUAACAAUGCAGCCAUUUUCAAUGUUUUAUUUUUGUGCUUAUUUUAGAGGUACAUCUAAAGGAAAACCCCAUACUUAGGCUUUUCCUGUACACCAUUGAAAUUUCUUUCAUAUUUCUCAGAGUUAAAAAAAAAAGGUUGAACAUUCUAAACUUACCUACAGUGCACACUACAUGCUAAAGAAGCUGUGUGCUUUUUUUUUUUUUAUGGACUCAUUUUAUUAAAUGACUGUUACUACCUGCUUUUUAUCCAGAAUUUCCUCUGUUUUGGGAGGAAAAACUCAACAAAAAUUCUUGGUUUUUUUCAUUACUCCUGUCAUUGGGAGUGUUUCUCCCUUAAGAGUGUGAGGCAAUAAUUUUAGAGAUUGCUUGAAGUUUCAAGAAAAUUUUGCCAAGUAGGGGCUGAUGUCUUGCCACAUGACCUAGUUCUAAUUAAUUUUCUGCAUUUGGAGUGGGGAGUUGAAUCCUAUUGCCAUGGAUGGGAGAUAUCCAUCAGCUUGCAGCACACAGGUACAGCAGAGAGGAGUGUUUGCCAUGCAGGUUGCUCUGGUGGCCAUUCAGCUUCCAAAGCUCCUGCUCUCCCCAAGCAGUCUGGAUGCUUCCUCUUGGAGCUGCUCAUGUUUUGGCUGCUGUGCUUUUGCUCCUGCCAGUAGGGGGAGAGACAGGCACUUCUAGAGCCAUGCUAAGAGGAAUGAAUCACCUUUCAACAUGCCAGCCUAGCGCCUGAUGCACAAUCAGCACUGAUGUUUAGCUGCUGAAUGAAUGAAGUUUUGUAUGACGGAGGACUCUUGUAAAAGAAGGCUGUGUCUGCAGAAGUGCUCAGCAAAGUCAGUGUGCAAAUAAAUUUUUCUGUGCUUCUUGAAAUACCUGAGAAAUAGGAAUGAAGUAGGAAGCAGUCUCAUGUGAUAAGCCAAUACUUUCUCUUUCUGCUGAUUUUCCAGGCAGUUUCUGGUGGAGUCAUGUACGGAUAUGACCCUUUGCUGCUCAUCAGAGCAUCAUUGAUCAAUUCCUACUGCAUAUAUGCUACACAUGCUACUUGAAUGUUUUAUUGCUGUUAACUAUUGGAAAUCUUAUUCAAAAGAAUUAUCUUUCUCUCAAAGAAACAAUGUAUAGCACCAAUUUGUGUUCUUGUGUCUUUCAGUUAAUAAGAACAUGCAAAAUCUGAAUUUUGCUUUUGGGCUGUGGUGUAUAUUCUUCUUCCCCAAACUCCAGGCAUGAUAAAGAUGGUGUUUCAAGGCUAAUAGUUAAGAAACCAAUGUAGUUUCUCCAUCAGUCUUUGAAGUAGAAGCGAGCUUUGGUUUUUGCAGGUCCAUACCACAAGGACUGAUAUGCCCAAACGCGUACAAGCCAAGGAGGUGACAGUUUCACAAAGCAGCCAAAUUUAAGACUGAGAGGCCCUCAGAGAUUUUUAUUAAUAAGCCUCUAGAAGGUACUUUUAGAUGGAUUUGAGGGAAUAUUUUUGUUUCUUUGUCACUGUACCACACACAUGUAAAGCAUAUUAAAAAGUUACUUCCAUGUUCUCAUUUAAAUGUGAAUGUCAUAUGUUUGAAUUGCUAAUUUCUUCUUUAAACUGCUUGAUCUGCUCAUGUUAAUUUAUAUAUAUGUUUAAUAAAUAGUUUCUUUACAUGUUCCCCAUUGCUGAUUCUCUGAUUGAAUGAUUUUAACAGUACUGGGACUAAACUAAUAUGGAAAAUUGCUUUUGAGAAAAAAAGGGGGGAAAUGGUCAGUAAAUUAGUCUUCUGUGAUCUCUGAUCAAAACAGAGUUUUGCCAAGUGACAUUAAAUUACAACUGAGCGAGACUGAAACCUUGACAAAUAAACUUUCAAAGACUGUC
Non-coding RNA from Taeniopygia guttata (zebra finch), 5883 nucleotides. The record is from RefSeq and is a predicted model, not a curated record. Lineage: Eukaryota; Metazoa; Chordata; Aves; Passeriformes; Estrildidae.